GCACUGCCGAGGAGUCUCAUAGUAGGACGAAACGGCCGUCCAGUGC
This 46-nucleotide non-coding RNA is filed under the name Schistosoma bovis. RNAcentral also lists the same sequence under 1 other name. Lineage: Eukaryota; Metazoa; Platyhelminthes; Trematoda; Strigeidida; Schistosomatidae. The record is from RNAcentral.